RNAcentral lists this ribosomal RNA (1083 nucleotides) under Acinetobacter sp. RNAcentral describes it as "bacterial SSU rRNA". It matches the Rfam family "Bacterial small subunit ribosomal RNA", at positions 53 to 1130 of the family's 1533-position model. The record is from RNAcentral. Lineage: Bacteria; Pseudomonadati; Pseudomonadota; Gammaproteobacteria; Moraxellales; Moraxellaceae.
ACAUGCAAGUCGAGCGGGCGAGGUUGCUUCGGUAACUGAGCUAGCGGCGGACGGGUGAGUAAUGCUUAGGAAUCUGCCUAUUAGUGGGGGACAACAUUCCGAAAGGAAUGCUAAUACCGCAUACGCCCUACGGGGGAAAGCAGGGGAUCUUCGGACCUUGCGCUAAUAGAUGAGCCUAAGUCAGAUUAGCUAGUUGGUGGGGUAAAGGCCUACCAAGGCGACGAUCUGUAGCGGGUCUGAGAGGAUGAUCCGCCACACUGGGACUGAGACACGGCCCAGACUCCUACGGGAGGCAGCAGUGGGGAAUAUUGGACAAUGGGCGCAAGCCUGAUCCAGCCAUGCCGCGUGUGUGAAGAAGGCCUUUUGGUUGUAAAGCACUUUAAGCGAGGAGGAGGCUACUUGGAUUAAUACUCUAGGAUAGUGGACGUUACUCGCAGAAUAAGCACCGGCUAACUCUGUGCCAGCAGCCGCGGUAAUACAGAGGGUGCGAGCGUUAAUCGGAUUUACUGGGCGUAAAGCGUGCGUAGGCGGCUUCUUAAGUCGGAUGUGAAAUCCCUGAGCUUAACUUAGGAAUUGCAUUCGAUACUGGGAAGCUAGAGUAUGGGAGAGGAUGGUAGAAUUCCAGGUGUAGCGGUGAAAUGCGUAGAGAUCUGGAGGAAUACCGAUGGCGAAGGCAGCCAUCUGGCCUAAUACUGACGCUGAGGUACGAAAGCAUGGGGAGCAAACAGGAUUAGAUACCCUGGUAGUCCAUGCCGUAAACGAUGUCUACUAGCCGUUGGGGCCUUUGAGGCUUUAGUGGCGCAGCUAACGCGAUAAGUAGACCGCCUGGGGAGUACGGUCGCAAGACUAAAACUCAAAUGAAUUGACGGGGGCCCGCACAAGCGGUGGAGCAUGUGGUUUAAUUCGAUGCAACGCGAAGAACCUUACCUGGUCUUGACAUAGUAAGAACUUUCCAGAGAUGGAUUGGUGCCUUCGGGAACUUACAUACAGGUGCUGCAUGGCUGUCGUCAGCUCGUGUCGUGAGAUGUUGGGUUAAGUCCCGCAACAAGCGCAACCCUUUUCCUUAUUUGCCAGCGGGUUAAG